UAAUUUCUGAUUUGAGUCUAGUCUUAACGGGUUCGAGUCAAAAUGGGUUGACCCGUUAAGACAUGAUUGCUUAAAGGGUUGAUAACAGGUCAACCCGUUAAGAAAGUUAAAGUUACAAUUAUACUCUAUACCUAAAAGUAAAAUUGUUGGGAUUUUAAUU
Molecule: long non-coding RNA, 160 nt
Organism: Juglans microcarpa x Juglans regia
Lineage: Eukaryota; Viridiplantae; Streptophyta; Magnoliopsida; Fagales; Juglandaceae
Exons: 3
Source: RefSeq, a predicted model, not a curated record